UUGCGCCUGGCUCCCUGUAUGCCACAUGCGUAGACCGAUGUCCAUGGGGAGAUUGGAUAUUGUGGGUGGCGUGCGAGGAGCCAAGCAUGA
This 90-nucleotide microRNA precursor is filed under the name Musa acuminata subsp. malaccensis (wild Malaysian banana). Its description in RNAcentral is "mir-160 microRNA precursor family". It matches the Rfam family "mir-160 microRNA precursor family". From Rfam's summary of the family: The hairpin precursors (represented here) are predicted based on base pairing and cross-species conservation -- their extents are not known. In this case the mature sequence is excised from the 5' arm of the hairpin. The record is from Rfam by way of RNAcentral. Lineage: Eukaryota; Viridiplantae; Streptophyta; Magnoliopsida; Zingiberales; Musaceae.